RNAcentral lists this ribosomal RNA (404 nucleotides) under Fusobacteriota bacterium. RNAcentral describes it as "Fusobacteria bacterium partial 16S ribosomal RNA". It matches the Rfam family "Bacterial small subunit ribosomal RNA", at positions 355 to 776 of the family's 1533-position model. The record is from RNAcentral. Lineage: Bacteria; Fusobacteriati; Fusobacteriota.
UGGGGAAUAUUGCACAAUGGAGGGAACUCUGAUGCAGCGACGCCGCGUGAGUGAUGAAGGAAUUCGUUUCGUAAAACUCUGUUCUAUGGGAAGAAAAGGACUGUACCAUAGGAGAAAGCUCCGGCUAAAUACGUGCCAGCAGCCGCGGUAAUACGUAUGGAGCGAGCGUUGUCCGGAAUUAUUGGGCGUAAAGGGUGCGCAGGCGGCUUUACAAGUUGGAUGUGAAAUAUUGUGGCUCAACCACAAACGUGCAUCCAAAACUGCAAAGCUUGAGUUAAGGAGAGGUAAGUGGAAUUCCUGGUGUAGCGGUGGAAUGCGUAGAUAUCAGGAGGAAUACCGGUGGCGAAGGCGACUUACUGGAAUUAAACUGACGCUCAGGCACGAAAGCGUGGGGAGCAAACAGG